Long non-coding RNA from Passer domesticus (house sparrow), 771 nucleotides. RefSeq lists it as uncharacterized. The record is from RefSeq and is a predicted model, not a curated record. The transcript has 7 exons. Lineage: Eukaryota; Metazoa; Chordata; Aves; Passeriformes; Passeridae.
GCCUUCUGGAUGUGUGUUGGUUACUUUGUAGACCAGGCAGGGACAGGUGAUUGCCCAGGUGCUUCUGCAAUAAGACAAUAAGUGUAUGCAUCCUUCUUUUGAUGCCAAGGUUGUCCUGGAGGAUUCAUACUUAAUUCAGCUGUUGAGAUUGCAGCAGCAGUACACAAUGAUCAGUCACUGCAAUGUACCACACGCCAGCUCCAAAGGACUUGAGCCAACAGCACUCAGAAUAAGUUGUCUACCAUGAGACAGAGCAGAGGGAAAAGCUGAGUUACAGGUGACUUGGAAAACUGGUGAUGGGACAGCAAGUGCACAUAAUUAAGAUUAUGCAUAGAGAAAGACGAGUGGCGAAAAGGGCAACAUGUUGAGAGAUAUUUCCACUAUUUUCUGCAAACUUCUUAAAAACUGUUGGUCUUAUUCUUCUGCUCUAACAAAGAAUGCAUCCCUUGUGAGGAAAAGAAGACAGACAGACACUGAUCUGUUUUCUCUGGUAAGGGAUUUUUGGGAACCUUGUGUUAUUCAAUAAAUCCAGAAACAGUGUGAAAGAUUUGCAUGACUUUAGAAGUGCCCUGUCUCUGCCUAUGAUAUCACCAGGAUAAACUUGUGCAUUGAGGACCAGGCUGACAAAUAAGUGCAGUAACUAGGAAGGCUCUGAGGAAGUUCACUGUCGCCAUUAUGUGACAGUUGGCCAAUCUGAGGGACCUUUCAGAGAGCUGACAAGUGGAUGGGAAAAGGCUAUGAAAGUGCAACCAAGCAAAGAGGUGAAUUAAG